CUCAACAAACCCCUGCUGUGCUGCUGUUUGCCACACCCUGUCGGGAACACAGAGCCCCCGCCCGCCCAAGCGGCUAAUUUAACUGCACUGGGAGCUACUCCCGGGUCGCCCUGGCUUCUCUAGCUGCCAACCGGGCGAAGUCCCGGCGCCGGGUCCCGGUGCCCGCCCGCCAUGCGUCCUGCGGGCCCGAGCGCCUCGGUAUUGCUCCGUGUCCUUGGCGGUCUGCACCUGCUGCUGCUGCUGUGGCCACCAGCCACCAGGGGGCAGAUAAUAGACGGCAUGUCCUUCGCUAUGUGUAGUAGUCCACCAGAUCGAGAUUUUGCAGUGCUCUCAGAGCCUUAUAGGAACGAGACUGUGUUUGCAGUAGGCGCCACUGUGGAAUAUGAGUGCCGUCCAGGCUACAGAAAAGUCUCUGAUGAACGACAAAUAGCUUGCCGUCCAAUGAUAGGAUGGACCAGACUAUCUGAGUUUUGUACAAAAAUGUCAUGUCCUAAUCCUGCACCAUUAGUAAAUGGUGAUAUCCAGAUACCAGCUAACAGAUUAUUUGGUGAAGUCAUGGUCUUCUCGUGUCAUGCUGGGCACGCACUAUUUGGUGAAGAAACUGCUAGGUGUAUCGUUGUGGGUGAUAAUGUUGAGUGGAGUAACGAAAAUCCAACUUGCACAGAGAUUUUUUGUCCAGAACCACCACGAAUCAAGCAUGGAAGAGUAAGUACAGGAAGAGAGGAACGUUAUGUAUAUAAUCACAUUGUAAGGUACUCGUGUGACGAAGGCUAUUCCUUGGUUGGAGAAGACUAUAUUCAGUGCUCUUUAAUAAAGAAUGAGGGAGUUUGGAGUUUCCCAGGACCUACAUGCGAAGACUUUUUUCCUCAACAUCUCUUGAUACCCAGUCUGUACUGUCAGAAUCCUUAGAACUGCUUUUUAGAUAUAUUUCACAAUUGCAAAGAUGUGAAAACAACCCAAGUGUCCAUCAUUACAUGAGUGGAUUAAUAAAAUGUGGUAUAUAGAUACUAUCGAAUACUAAUCAGCUACAAAAAACAAUUGUGAAUUAGCAACUCUUAUAUGAUCCUGGAUAGAGAUUGAGCCCAUUCUUCAAAAUGAGGUAUCACAGGAAUUGAAAAACAUGCACCACAUGUACUCGCCAUCAAAUUGGUACUAACUGAUCAACACUAAGGUGUUCACAUGGUAGUAAUACUUAUUGAUUGCCAGGCAGGUGGGGUGGUUAGGGGUGGUAAACCUACAACUAAUGGAAGCAGAGAGCACUGUAUGGGGGAAAGACAUGCUUGUAGCCCUGGCUGGGUGA
Molecule: non-coding RNA, 1300 nt
Organism: Microcebus murinus (gray mouse lemur)
Lineage: Eukaryota; Metazoa; Chordata; Mammalia; Primates; Cheirogaleidae
Source: RefSeq, a predicted model, not a curated record